Molecule: long non-coding RNA, 703 nt
Organism: Rhinopithecus roxellana (golden snub-nosed monkey)
Lineage: Eukaryota; Metazoa; Chordata; Mammalia; Primates; Cercopithecidae
Exons: 3
Source: RefSeq, a predicted model, not a curated record
AGGUUCCGCAGGUCCACAACUGCAUAUGGCCUGUAGCCCCCAUUCUCCACAUUUGGAGGGGGGUGGGUGGCAAACCAGGGCUUUGAAGCGGACCUGCAGAUUUCCCUCAAAUCCAGCUAAGGCCUGCGCUGGAAGCAGAAACUGAGUUCUCUUGGCCUGCCGCGAGGAGACCCGCGUCCUGCCCCCACCCCAGGAAAUUUGCAGUGACUUUGGAGCCCAGACUGAGGACGCGGAGGUGGCGAAAGGAGAGACAAUACGGGUCCGAAGUACAAUUAAGGGGCCAGAACCGCUCGUCUCUCCCCCGCCCUCCUUGCCCGACUGCGAGCUGUCUGGCCUCAAACCUCAGGGCGACACGCGAACCUGGAGCCGGAAACUCAACCCGUGGCAGAGGGAGUCAGAGGACUCUGCAUCCAGAAAACAGAAGCAAAGCGCCCUUCCAACUUGGGGGCGCCUUAACCAGCCCCGCUGAGUUGCAGAGAACCCAAUGAAUGAAAGUGCAAAUUCCGCCGUUUUUCCUGAUUUUUUUUCCAGCCUUGGGAAGGAGAGCUCAGGGUUUGGGGCGUCUCAGACAGAAAGGCAAACCGCAUCUCCUGAGGCAGACAGACCCACAACAUGAGUGUGAGCCUGAGAUCACAUACAGGUUCAACAUUUCCGGAGGCCUCUUUGCCAGGCCCGGCGGGCGCCGAUCUCCCUACCUUCUCUC